ACCGUGGUAAUUCUAGAGCUAAUACAUGCUAAAAACCCCGACUUCGGAAGGGGUGUAUUUAUUAGAUAAAAAACCAAUGCCCUCUGGGCUCUUUGGUGAUUCAUAAUAACUUAACGAAUCGCAUGGCCUUGCGCCGGCGAUGGUUCAUUCAAAUUUCUGCCCUAUCAACUUUCGAUUGUAAGAUAGAGGCUUACAAUGGUAUUAACGGGUAACGGGGAAUUAGGGUUCUAUUCCGGAGAGGGAGCCUGAGAAACGGCUACCACAUCCAAGGAAGGCAGCAGGCGCGCAAAUUACCCAAUGCUAAUUCAGCGAGGUAGUGACAAUAAAUACUGAUACGGGGCUCUUUCGGGUCUCGUAAUUGGAAUGAGUACAAUCUAAAUCCCUUAACGAGGAACAAUUGGAGGGCAAGUCUGGUGCCAGCAGCCGCGGUAAUUCCAGCUCCAAUAGCGUAUAUUAAAGUUGUUGCCGUUAAAAAGCUCGUAGUUGAACCUUGGACCUGGCUGAUCUGUCCUCCUAAUCGAGCGCACGGAUUCGGUCGGGUCUUUCCUUCUGGGGAGCCCUAUGCCCUUCACUGGGUGUAGUGGGGAACCAGGACUUUUACCUUGAAAAAAUUAGAGUGUUCAAAGCAGGCCUUUGCUCGAAUACAUUAGCAUGGAAUAAUAGAAUAGGACAUCGGUUCUAUUUUGUUGGUUUCUAGGACCGCUGUAAUGAUUAAUAGGGAUAGUCGGGGGCGUCAGUAUUCAAUUGUCAGAGGUGAAAUUCUUGGAUUUAUUGAAGACUAACUACUGCGAAAGCAUUCGCCAAGGAUGUUUUCAUUAAUCAGUGAACGAAAGUUAGGGGAUCGAAGACGAUCAGAUACCGUCGUAGUCUUAACCAUAAACUAUGCCGACUAGGGAUCGGACGGUGGUUUUUUUAUGCCCCGUUCGGCACCUUACGAGAAAUCAAAGUUUUUGGGCUCGGGGGGGAGUAUGGUCGCAAGGCUGAAACUUAAAGAAAUUGACGGAAGGGCACCACCAGGCGUGGAGCCUGCGGCUUAAUUUGACCCAACACGGGGAAACUCACCAGGUCCAGACAUGCUUAGGAUUGACAGAUUGAUAGCUCUUUCUUGAUUGUAUGGGUGGUGGUGCAUGGCCGUUCUUAGUUGGUGGAGUGAUUUGUCUGCUUAAUUGCGAUAACGAACGAGACCUUGACCUGCUAAAUAGCCAGGUUGACUUUCA
RNAcentral lists this ribosomal RNA (1217 nucleotides) under metagenome. RNAcentral describes it as "SSU rRNA". It matches the Rfam family "Eukaryotic small subunit ribosomal RNA", at positions 146 to 1373 of the family's 1831-position model. The record is from RNAcentral.